This is a non-coding RNA of Lasiosphaeris hirsuta, 106 nucleotides long. The record is from the annotation of a GenBank genome assembly. NCBI's taxonomy places the organism in Eukaryota, Fungi, Ascomycota, Sordariomycetes, Sordariales, Lasiosphaeriaceae.
GGUCGCACGGUGUAGUUGGUUAUCACGCCAGCUUAACAAAUCUCGUAUUCUCCAUCAGGUUGAUCAGUCCCGCUGAAGGUCCUCAGUUCAAUCUUGAGUGCGGUCA